RNAcentral lists this ribosomal RNA (572 nucleotides) under uncultured organism. RNAcentral describes it as "bacterial SSU rRNA". It matches the Rfam family "Bacterial small subunit ribosomal RNA", at positions 840 to 1427 of the family's 1533-position model. The record is from RNAcentral.
UGUGUGUCGUAGUUAACGCGUUAAACAGGGCGCCUGGGAAGUACGGCCGCAAGGCUAAAACCCAAAGGAAUUGACGGGGACCCGCACAAGCAGUGGAGCGCCUGGUUUAAUUCGAUGGUCAGCGAAGAACCUCACCUAGGCUUGAACUGUAGCUGCACACUCCCAGAAACGGGAGAAUCCUUCGAGGGUGCUACAGAGGUGCUGCAUGGCUGUCGUCAGCUCGUGUCGUGAGAUGUAGGGUUAAGUCCCACAACGAGCGCAACCCCUAUUCAGUGUUAUAAUUACUCUGAAGACUGCCCUGUCCAAACGGGGAGGAAGGAGGGGACGACGUCCAGUCAUCAUGUCCCUUAUGUCUAGGGCUACACAGACGUUACAAUGGCCGGUACAAUGGGUUGCCAAACCGCGAGGUGGAGCCAAUCCCAUCAAAGCCGGUCCCAGUUCGGAUUGCAGUCUGCAACUCGACUGCAUGAAGUUAGAAUUGCUAGUAAUCGCGAAUCAGCACGUCGCGGUGAUACGUUCUCGGGUCUGUACACACCGCCCGUCAGGGCACGGGAGUCGCUCUUGCUCGAAGU